GGAACUGCCUAUCUCUCUUUAAUCCUGAGCCAGUGGUUGAUGUUUUGGUAGCUUUGGCUUCUCUUCAGCUGUGGGCUCUAGCUGCAUAGGGCUUGAUACUUGUGGGUAAUUUGCAACUACUGGUGCAGUGGAAUCCCGGGGAUUGACAGAGGGGCAGUGUGUGUAGUUUAGGGGGAGGGAAGGAGGAUCCCCUGUCUCCCUGGCGCCUCAUGUCCAGUGAAAUGUUGUGCCAAUCAAUGGCAUUGAUUGGUCUCUGAUGGAGAUGUAGUUCUAUUAGUUCAAUUUCCUGUUUCACUAUAGAAUGUGACUGUAUGUGUUUGUGAGAGAGACACAGGGAAGGAGUUAUUAUCAACAGUGGGCAAUAGGGGAGUAGUCAGGGGAAGAGAGAGGGGACAGUUCUCUCUGGGACUCUCAGUUGUCCUGAACGUGGGAGUAGUGACUUGCUGGAGUAGAACUAUGGAAAUUAGGGUAACAGGGUAUUUUUCCACGAAGGAAACUAGAGAAGGAAGUAAGAUCAGUCCGAGUGUAGGAUCAGUGUUCUGAAUACAAGAGGCAGAUGCCCAUUGUUGGAUAUGAGAAUCUAAGGUGGAGAAGAGGGCUGGCUUGGUUGAAACUCAACCAAGAGCAUUUCAGAGUUCUUUCCUCAGAAAAUACCGUGGUAAAGCUUUAGUUAGCUAUAGAUGUACUUGGGACGUGUGGUAAAAAAAGAAAAACAAAUAAGACGGGGACCCAGUCCAUCACUCUGAUUCCUUACAACCACAUCAAGGCUUCAAGAUGUGGCUUUACCCCAAGGAACCUUUAGCGCCUUCCUGGCAUCUCACAAACUUUUCUCUGAAGGAAUCUCUCUUCUCUGAGUGUGAUGAAGGGUGUUGAACCAUUGGGAAGGAACUUUACAACAUCCACUGUGUGCCAGAAGACCAGACUGAGUUUCUUUACGUGAUGGCAGAAGUGUUGAAAGAGAACGAGAGCGGAAGCUGCAACACCUCUUGAAGUUGAGGCCUAGAAGUCACACAGCAUCUCUUCUGCUCUACUGGAUUGGUCAAAGCAAGUCAUGGGCUAGUUCAGACUGAGGGGGUAGCAAAAUAGACCCUACCUCUUGGUGGGAAAAAAGGCAGUCACAUUGUAAAGGAGUGGGCACAUAAGGAUAGAAGGACUUGAUUUGGCUAUCUUAUAAACAACCUACCACAGAAGGA
RNAcentral lists this long non-coding RNA (1193 nucleotides) under Homo sapiens (human). RNAcentral's name for it is "HSALNT0314256". Lineage: Eukaryota; Metazoa; Chordata; Mammalia; Primates; Hominidae. The record is from RNAcentral.